Molecule: non-coding RNA, 107 nt
Organism: Nelumbo nucifera (sacred lotus)
Lineage: Eukaryota; Viridiplantae; Streptophyta; Magnoliopsida; Proteales; Nelumbonaceae
Source: Rfam
AGACCAUGGUGAGGAUACUUCCUAAGUAUUUCCUUAAAUCUCUCCCAUGACUCAUAUAAGGUUUCAUUAUCAAAUUGAGAAAAAGUUGUUAUGUCAUUCCUUAAUUU